This 316-nucleotide ribosomal RNA is filed under the name uncultured bacterium. RNAcentral's name for it is "bacterial SSU rRNA". It matches the Rfam family "Bacterial small subunit ribosomal RNA", at positions 28 to 334 of the family's 1533-position model. The record is from RNAcentral.
GAUAAACGCUGGCGGCGCACAUAAGACAUGCAAGUCGAACGGACUUAACUCAUUCUUUUAGAUUGAGAGCGGUUAGUGACGGACUGGUGAGUAACACGUAAGCAACCUGCCUAUUAGAGGGGAAUAACAGUCGGAAACGACUGCUAAUACCGCAUAACAUUUGAGGGUGGCAUCACUCUUGAAUCAAAGGAGCAAUCCGCUGUAAGAUGGCUUCGCGUCCGAUUAGACAGUUGGCGGGGUAACGGCCCACCAAAUCUACGAUCGGUAGCCGGACUGAGAGGUUGAACGGCCACAUUGGGACUGAGACACGGCCCAG